RNAcentral lists this ribosomal RNA (620 nucleotides) under uncultured Curtobacterium sp. RNAcentral describes it as "bacterial SSU rRNA". It matches the Rfam family "Bacterial small subunit ribosomal RNA", at positions 427 to 1060 of the family's 1533-position model. The record is from RNAcentral. Lineage: Bacteria; Bacillati; Actinomycetota; Actinomycetes; Micrococcales; Microbacteriaceae.
AAACCUCUUUUAGUAGGGAAGAAGCGUAAGUGACGGUACCUGCAGAAAAAGCACCGGCUAACUACGUGCCAGCAGCCGCGGUAAUACGUAGGGUGCAAGCGUUGUCCGGAAUUAUUGGGCGUAAAGAGCUCGUAGGCGGUUUGUCGCGUCUGCUGUGAAAACCGGAGGCUCAACCUCCGGCCUGCAGUGGGUACGGGCAGACUAGAGUGCGGUAGGGGAGAUUGGAAUUCCUGGUGUAGCGGUGGAAUGCGCAGAUAUCAGGAGGAACACCGAUGGCGAAGGCAGAUCUCUGGGCCGUAACUGACGCUGAGGAGCGAAAGCAUGGGGAGCGAACAGGAUUAGAUACCCUGGUAGUCCAUGCCGUAAACGUUGGGCGCUAGAUGUAGGGGCCAUUCCACGGUUUCUGUGUCGCAGCUAACGCAUUAAGCGCCCCGCCUGGGGAGUACGGCCGCAAGGCUAAAACUCAAAGGAAUUGACGGGGGCCCGCACAAGCGGCGGAGCAUGCGGAUUAAUUCGAUGCAACGCGAAGAACCUUACCAAGGCUUGACAUAUACCGGUAACGGCCAGAAAUGGUCGCCCCGCAAGGUCGGUAUACAGGUGGUGCAUGGUUGUCGUCAGCU